AACCCAUGGUGAGGGCACCUUCUCAAUAAAUCCUUAUACCUCUCUCAUGCAUUGUAUAGUGUCUCUAAGCCUAUGUGCACAAAGGAAGAGAUAUCAUUCCUCAACUU
Non-coding RNA from Gossypium arboreum, 107 nucleotides. NCBI's taxonomy places the organism in Eukaryota, Viridiplantae, Streptophyta, Magnoliopsida, Malvales, Malvaceae. The record is from Rfam.